CCGUGUGCUUACAAGUAGUCAGAGCCCGUUAAUGGGUGAUGGCGUGCCUUUUGUAGAAUGAACCGGCGAGUUACGAUUUGAUGCAAGGUUAAGCAGUAAAUGUGGAGCCGUAGCGAAAGCGAGUCUGAAUAGGGCGUUUAGUAUUUGGUCGUAGACCCGAAACCAGGUGAUCUACCCUUGGUCAGGUUGAAGUUCAGGUAACACUGAAUGGAGGACCGAACCGACUUACGUUGAAAAGUGAGCGGAUGAACUGAGGGUAGCGGAGAAAUUCCAAUCGAACCUGGAGAUAGCUGGUUCUCUCCGAAAUAGCUUUAGGGCUAGCCUCAAGUGAUGAUUAUUGGAGGUAGAGCACUGUUUGGACGAGGGGCCCCUCUCGGGUUACCGAAUUCAGACAAACUCCGAAUGCCAAUUAAUUUAACUUGGGAGUCAGAACAUGGGUGAUAAGGUCCGUGUUCGAAAGGGAAACAGCCCAGACCACCAGCUAAGGUCCCAAAAUAUAUGUUAAGUGGAAAAGGAUGUGGCGUUGCCCAGACAACUAGGAUGUUGGCUUAGAAGCAGCCAUCAUUUAAAGAGUGCGUAAUAGCUCACUAGUCGAGUGACACUGCGCCGAAAAUGUACCGGGGCUAAACAUAUUACCGAAGCUGUGGAUUGUCCUUUGGACAAUGGUAGGAGAGCGUUCUAAGGGCGUUGAAGCAUGAUCGUAAGGACAUGUGGAGCGCUUAGAAGUGAGAAUGCCGGUGUGAGUAGCGAAAGACGGGUGAGAAUCCCGUCCACCGAUUGACUAAGGUUUCCAGAGGAAGGCUCGUCCGCUCUGGGUUAGUCGGGUCCUAAGCUGAGGCCGACAGGCGUAGGCGAUGGAUAACAGGUUGAUAUUCCUGUACCACCUAUAAUCGUUUUA
Molecule: ribosomal RNA, 898 nt
Filed under: Staphylococcus aureus
Lineage: Bacteria; Bacillati; Bacillota; Bacilli; Caryophanales; Staphylococcaceae
Description: partial 23S ribosomal RNA
Rfam family: Bacterial large subunit ribosomal RNA
Source: RNAcentral